RNAcentral lists this ribosomal RNA (267 nucleotides) under uncultured bacterium. Its description in RNAcentral is "partial 16S ribosomal RNA". It matches the Rfam family "Bacterial small subunit ribosomal RNA", at positions 57 to 305 of the family's 1533-position model. The record is from RNAcentral.
GCAAGUCGAGCGAGAAAUUCAGAUUUAAAACCUUCGGGUGGAGAUGAAGAAUGGAAAGCGGCGGACGGGUGAGUAACGCGUGGGCAACCUACCUUAUACAAAGGGAUAGCCACUGGAAACGGUGAUUAAUACCUUAUAACACUGUUUAAUCGCAUGAUUGAAUAGUCAAAGAUUUAUCGGUAUAGGAUGGGCCCGCGUCUGAUUAGUUAGUUGGUAAGGUAAUGGCUUACCAAGGCGACGAUCAGUAGCCGACCUGAGAGGGUGAUC